This 465-nucleotide ribosomal RNA is filed under the name uncultured Glomus. RNAcentral's name for it is "SSU rRNA". It matches the Rfam family "Eukaryotic small subunit ribosomal RNA", at positions 623 to 1089 of the family's 1831-position model. Lineage: Eukaryota; Fungi; Glomeromycota; Glomeromycetes; Glomerales; Glomeraceae. The record is from RNAcentral.
AAAGCUCGUAGUUGAAUUUCGAGAUCAGUACGCUGGUCGUGCCUUCGGUAUGCACUGGUGUCACUGGUUUCUCCCUUCUGAAGAACCGUCAUGUCAUUAAGUUGGUGUGGCGGGGAAUCAGGACUGUUACUUUGAAAAAAUUAGAGUGUUUAAAGCAGGCUCGCGCUUGAAUACAUUAGCAUGGAAUAAUGAAAUAGGACGUUUGACCCUAUUUUGUUGGUUUCUAGGAUCGACGUAAUGAUUAAUAGGGAUAGUUGGGGGCAUUAGUAUUCAAUUGUCAGAGGUGAAAUUCUUGGAUUUAUUGAAGACUAACUACUGCGAAAGCAUUUGCCAAGGAUGUUUUCAUUAAUCAAGAACGAAAGUUAGGGGAUCGAAGACGAUCAGAUACCGUCGUAGUCUUAACCAUAAACUAUGCCGACUAGGGAUCGGAUGAUGUUAAUUUUUUAAUGACUCAUUCGGCACCUU